Molecule: ribosomal RNA, 253 nt
Filed under: uncultured bacterium
Lineage: Bacteria
Description: partial 16S ribosomal RNA
Rfam family: Bacterial small subunit ribosomal RNA
Source: RNAcentral
UACGAAGGGGGCUAGCGUUGCUCGGAAUCACUGGGCGUAAAGCGCACGUAGGCGGAUCUUUAAGUCAGGGGUGAAAUCCUGGAGCUCAACUCCAGAACUGCCUUUGAUACUGAAGAUCUUGAGUUCGGGAGAGGUGAGUGGAACUGCGAGUGUAGAGGUGAAAUUUGUAGAUAUUCGCAAGAACACCAGUGGCGAAGGCGGCUCACUGGCCCGAUACUGACGCUGAGGCACGAAAGCGUGGGGAGCAAACAGG